GUGUGCUGGUGAAGUGUUUGGAUCGGUAUCAAUGGGGGGCAACCUCUGUUGGUACUGAGAAGAACAUUAAACCCCCCCACCUAGGGGAAGGAGAAGUCGUAACAAGGUUUCCGUAGGUGAACCUGCGGAAGGAUCAUUG
This 139-nucleotide ribosomal RNA is filed under the name Dunaliella sp. hd10. Its description in RNAcentral is "partial 18S ribosomal RNA". It matches the Rfam family "Eukaryotic small subunit ribosomal RNA", at positions 1693 to 1831 of the family's 1831-position model. The record is from RNAcentral. Lineage: Eukaryota; Viridiplantae; Chlorophyta; Chlorophyceae; Chlamydomonadales; Dunaliellaceae.